GCCUGUGAGACGAAUCUAAGUUCUCCCUUAAUCAUCCUCCACGGACAUCUACCCAAACCUACAUGUAGCAGAUUAAGAGCAAUUUAAAGGGGGUACAGCUCCUUUAAAAAAGAACACAAUCUCCUCUAGUGGAUAAUUACUAUCAACCCAAACCCCUAUCUGUGGGCCUUCAAGCAGCCACCAACAAAGAGUGCGUCAAAGCUCUGCAUCUAAAGAUCCAAAAACAACAUGACUCCCUUAUUCCUAGCAGGCUAACCUAUAACAAUAGGAGAAUCAAUGCUAAAAUAAGUAACUCCGGGACUUACCCUCUUAAGCGCAAACUUACAUAUUCACAUUAUUAACAGACUCCCCCUAAUACCACAACUCCAACAAGACCAAAUAUUAACAACAUCUGUUAAUCCAACCCAGGAGCGCCCAUUAGAAAGAUUAAAAUCUGUAAAAGGAACUAGGCAAACCCAGGGCCCGACUGUUUACCAAAAACAUAGCCUUCAGCUCGUCCAAGUAUUGAAGGUGAUGCCUGCCCAGUGACAUCGUUUAACGGCCGCGGUAUCCUA
Molecule: ribosomal RNA, 554 nt
Filed under: Threskiornis molucca (Australian ibis)
Lineage: Eukaryota; Metazoa; Chordata; Aves; Pelecaniformes; Threskiornithidae
Description: partial 16S ribosomal RNA
Source: RNAcentral